This 29-nucleotide non-coding RNA is filed under the name Prorocentrum micans. Lineage: Eukaryota; Dinophyceae; Prorocentrales; Prorocentraceae. The record is from RNAcentral.
UUUUUUUUUUUUUUUUUUUUUUUUUUUCC